UACGUAGGGUGCAAGCGUUGUCCGGAAUUAUUGGGCGUAAAGAGCUCGUAGGCGGUUUGUCGCGUCGGCUGUGAAGACUCGGGGCUCAACCCCGAGCCUGCAGUCGAUACGGGCAGACUAGAGUGCUGUAGGGGAGACUGGAAUUCCUGGUGUAGCGGUGAAAUGCGCAGAUAUCAGGAGGAACACCGGUGGCGAAGGCGGGUCUCUGGGCCGAUACUGACGCUGAGGAGCGAAAGCGUGGGGAGCAAACAGG
RNAcentral lists this ribosomal RNA (253 nucleotides) under uncultured bacterium. RNAcentral's name for it is "partial 16S ribosomal RNA". It matches the Rfam family "Bacterial small subunit ribosomal RNA", at positions 524 to 776 of the family's 1533-position model. The record is from RNAcentral.